Molecule: ribosomal RNA, 294 nt
Filed under: Aspergillus pseudoglaucus
Lineage: Eukaryota; Fungi; Ascomycota; Eurotiomycetes; Eurotiales; Aspergillaceae
Description: partial small subunit ribosomal RNA
Rfam family: Bacterial small subunit ribosomal RNA
Source: RNAcentral
CUUGGGUAGCAAUAAGGAUUAGAUACCCUAGUAGUCCAAGCAGAAAAUGAUGAAUGUCAUAGACUAGAAAAUAUAUUUAGUCUAUAAAUGAAAGUGUAAGCAUUCCACCUCAAGAGUAAUAUGGCAACAUAUAAACUGAAAUCAUUAGACCGUUUCUGAAACCAGUAGUGAAGUAUGUUAUUUAAUUCGAUAACCCGCGAAAAACCUUACCACAGUUUGAAUAACAAUAAAAUUGUUACAAGCGCUGCACGGCUGUCUUUAGUUAAUGUCGUGAGAUUUGGUUAACUCCUCAAA